UCUUACCAGUCUUGAAUCUGUGUGGGUAAUAACCAACCAUCUUGAGCAUCUGUCAUGUAACACUACAAUUUGGCAAUGCAUCUCAGUCUGCUUUAGAAACCAGGCCUAAAUUUAGCACCUGCCUCACACAGUCGAAAUUUGUAUUAUUGUUUCUGAUUUGAAAACAUUAAAGUAUAAUCCCAAACUUUAGAGGCAGCAGGAAACAUGGAAUGAAAUGCUAACACAUGUUGAUGACUGAAUUUGCCACCAGCAGGCUGAAUAAGCUGAAGCAACAUUCCUGAUGCAUGGAGCCUCAGUCUUUCCUUUUGACCAGAACCGCUGGUGUUUUGUUUCUAUCUGAGAGCAGGGAGACUGAUAUCAAGGUGAAACAACCCUGUUUCUCCACAAGGACAUCGAGAUACCAUGACUUCACUCUAUUCCCACUUUCAUAAUGGCAAAAUUACCAAGCAGAGGAAUUUGAAGCAGCACACUGCCCAAAUGGCUGAAAUGAAAUGGUGUUAUUCCACUGGAAAAAUAUUGACUAUAAAAUCCUGACCUUGGAAAGUGGACCUGAAGAGAGACUCACAUUUAUUUCCAGUGUGUUGGAUGACUGUGACUCUAACUAAAUGGAACAAUGUCUUCAUCCAUUUUUGGUACUCAGGUUCUCUUCCUGCUUCUCUGUUAUGUUUUGAAGCAACUGAGAGACCCUCAACAGAGGCCAAACAGAUGUAGCCACUCAUCUUAGAAUUUUGGCCUCCAAAACUGUUUCAAGUGGGUUGCCACCACAGAUAUGCAGCAUUCUGGGAACAAUGGAUGGGUCAAAGUGAAACCCAUCAGGAAGCACCAUUUCUCACCCAAAAUGGCCACAGGUUAGAAAGGAAAUUCAAUCAAGGCACGUCAGAAUUUUUCACUAGAUAUUUUCCAAUGGUUUCUGGAACGAUAGAAAUCCUCUCUCACCUUAAGAAAUAAGAACUCGAAACUGGGUGAGGCAGCUACCUUUCCUCUCUAGGGGAGAAAGCCAGUUGCAAACAAAAGAAACAAGGCUGACCAACAAAAAGAAGAUUCACAAACUUCCAUGUCACUGGCAUCCUCAAAACUUCACGGUGCUCUUUGUAACAAUGAAGUUACUCAGCCCUGGUGAAUUUUUCUCUAGGAAGUCUGGUGUGACCCUUCCAGGAUUGAUUUAGGCUCUACUUUCCAUAUUUCUACAGAACUCGUGUCUAUCUCUGUUGUAGCAUGGACCACUGUACCGUGAGUUACCAAUCGCUCUUCUGUCUUCACUACUGGUCCAUUAGAGCCAGAGAGCUGGCUUUGACUUUCAGUUCCUGCUACUUCUUGUGCUGAACAUUUCUUUGUCUCUGCGACAAAAACAUGUUAUUUUUGUCUCACAGCAGUCCAUAGGUAUGCCAUAAUAGUUAAAAUUUUAUUUUGAUGUGUCUUUAUGGUUGUUUUGAUUGCUCUGUUUAAGAUUUGGUGACUUCAGUCCAUCCACA
RNAcentral lists this long non-coding RNA (1472 nucleotides) under Heterocephalus glaber (naked mole-rat). RNAcentral describes it as "lncRNA (ENSHGLG00100046414.1)". The record is from RNAcentral. Lineage: Eukaryota; Metazoa; Chordata; Mammalia; Rodentia; Bathyergidae.